This 180-nucleotide small RNA is filed under the name Alphaproteobacteria bacterium. Its description in RNAcentral is "Manganese sequence". It matches the Rfam family "Manganese Mn2+ riboswitch aptamer (yybP-ykoY)". Rfam says of the family: This RNA was originally discovered in E. coli during a large scale screen and was named SraF. The family was later found to exist upstream of related families of protein genes in many bacteria, including the the yybP and ykoK genes in B. subtilis. The record is from RNAcentral. Lineage: Bacteria; Pseudomonadati; Pseudomonadota; Alphaproteobacteria.
CCGCAUUCCCUUGGGGAGUAGCCGCCCGGCAAUUUGGCCGGGCCGCGCGUCAACACAAUCGGCCGUCCUUUGGAUACGCCGUGGCGCGCGGGGCCUUUCAGGUUUGGCGAGACCAAUGGUUGGUUCCUUCUGCGGUCGGCAGGGGGAGGCAGCCAUUGCGCUCACCACCCCGGCCCCGGA